Molecule: long non-coding RNA, 1345 nt
Organism: Cygnus atratus (black swan)
Lineage: Eukaryota; Metazoa; Chordata; Aves; Anseriformes; Anatidae
Exons: 5
Source: RefSeq, a predicted model, not a curated record
AGGUUCCCAGACUGUGUUGUAUAUACUGCUAGUGAAGCUGGAACAAUUUCAGACUGGCUCUGCUCAUGACGAUCCCUAAAUCAAUUAAAUUUAGGAAUCUUUCUUGAAAUUGAAUCAAUACAGCUUGCUGGUGGCAUCCAAGGGAGCAGGUCUAGCUCUGUCUAUACCAAGGCUGUCUGUCUUUGAAAACAUGGACACACAAGCAUUUACCAGCUGAUCAUCAGUAAUUGCCUACAUGGAGCAUUCAUUAUGUUCUUGAUUCAAUGUCCUUCAUAAAAUCAACCCAAGUUAACAGCAUUUACAAUGCCAUUCAAGCAAAAAUGAAACCUAAAAACAUAGAAAUGGGAGUCAAGUCAUACCAGAUACUAUGAGUCUUGUAGAACAAAUGAUAAGCCUGUAUCCUUUCUUUGGAAGAAAGAUGUGCAGCUGUAUUAAGAACAAAAAGAAUUGCAGAGUUGCAGACUGGUUGAGGUUGGAAGGGACCUCUGGAGACCAUCUGGUCCAACCCCACUGGUCAAACAGAGCCAUCUAGAGCUGCUUGCCCAGGAUGAUGUCCAGACAACUUUUGAAGAUCUCCACGGAGAGAGACUCAUAACUGCUCUGCACAACCUAUGCCAGUGUUUAUUCAACUUCACAAUAAAGAAGUGUUUCCUGGUGUUCAGAUGGAACCUCUUGUUUUCCAGUUUGUGCCCGUUGCCUCUCAUCCUGGCAUUGAACACCACUGGAAAGAGCCCGGGUCCAUUCUCCACCCCUCCUCCCCCCUGACAUUGCUUUCCUCCAGUCCUCAGGCAUUUCUCUCAUUCACUGUGAUCUUUGAAGAUAAUGGAGAGUGUUCUUGUAAAGACAAGACUAGGAGAGAUUACAUGAAUCAUGAAGUCCAUCCCCUAUCCACAACCAGAAGCUCCAAGGUUAUAUUUUUCCAGUUCCUGGACCUUGCCCAAAACAUUCCAGAGGUUUCAAGAAAUAUUUAGAAAGUCGAAGGUUUCCAAGGAGGUGGCUAACUAGGACUGAAUACACAACCACAUUUGUGCUGAAUAGCUAGAAAGCAAAGGAAACCCAUUAUGUGGUUUUUAAAACCUUUUGUGAAUUGUGGAAAAGAUACGUAAUGUUUCUGCUGAAGAAAAUCCAUCACAAUUAUCUAUAUGUUUUUUAUUUCACUCCAAGAAUUUUCAACAAUGAAUCUUUAUUGGGACCUUCAUAAAUAAAUAAAUAACCAGCAGUACUGCUGUCAUGGAGAACACUUAUAAAUGAGCUUACUACUACACAGCUGCUCUGAAGACCGCAUGUAUUGCUUGUAAAUAAUUAGUUUUCCACCUCUGACAGGUAGGGUUAUAAAAAUGAUUAU